UGGGCACCUAGGCUAUGUCCA
RNAcentral lists this microRNA (21 nucleotides) under Tetranychus urticae (two-spotted spider mite). Its description in RNAcentral is "tur-miR-5731-3p". The record is from miRBase by way of RNAcentral. Lineage: Eukaryota; Metazoa; Arthropoda; Arachnida; Trombidiformes; Tetranychidae.